RNAcentral lists this non-coding RNA (30 nucleotides) under Mus musculus (house mouse). The record is from RNAcentral. Lineage: Eukaryota; Metazoa; Chordata; Mammalia; Rodentia; Muridae.
AACAAACAAAGCAGUUAGCCGGCCUAGACA